This 504-nucleotide ribosomal RNA is filed under the name Triticum aestivum (bread wheat). RNAcentral describes it as "partial small subunit ribosomal RNA". The record is from RNAcentral. Lineage: Eukaryota; Viridiplantae; Streptophyta; Magnoliopsida; Poales; Poaceae.
AUGGCAAUUGUCCAUACAUACGGGAAGCCUGACAUCUUCUUGACCAUGACUUGCAACCCUAAAUGGGAAGAGAUAACAAAUGAGUUGCUUCCUGGUCAGACGGCGCAAGACCGACCUGAUAUUGUGGCUCGCGUGUUCUACGGCAAACUAGAGGCUAUGAAAUACAUGUUGUUCAAGAAGCAUAUCCUGGGUGUUGUGGUCGCUUACGUUUACGUAGUCGAGUUCCAGAAGAGGGGCCUCCCCCAUGCACAUUUUCUGUUGAUCAUGGAUUCAACAUAUAAGCUUGUCGUCCCGGAGCAGUAUGACCGACUAAUUUCUGCAGAGCUCCCAAACAAGCAGAAGUAUCCGGAAUUGCAUGCAUUGGUGGUAAAACAUAUGACGCACGGACCCUGCGGUGCUCUCAACCCGAAGAAUGUUUGCAUGCAAGAUAACGAAUGCAAGUGUAGAUACCCGCGCCCGUUCAAUGAGAACACAACACAAGGCAAGGACUCAUACCCAGUUUAA